RNAcentral lists this long non-coding RNA (1235 nucleotides) under Phocoena sinus (vaquita). RNAcentral's name for it is "lncRNA (ENSPSNG00000008564.1)". Lineage: Eukaryota; Metazoa; Chordata; Mammalia; Artiodactyla; Phocoenidae. The record is from RNAcentral.
AACCUGGAAGCACUGUCCCCUCCGGCCCCGGUCACCCCUCCCGCCCCGCGGCCCUCGAUCCCGAGCCGGUCUUGGGGAAACGCGCCCGUCUCCCCGGGGGCCUCCGAGCCCGGGCUGCGCGCACCGAAGGGUUAAGGGCGCGGACCGGCCGCCGCGCUGUGCGCUCGCCGUGCUCAGAGCUGCUCGCCCCGCCGCCCGCCGGAGGGUGCCCCCCCCCGCCCCCCCGAAGUCGGAUCCCAGAGCUGCGGCGGCGGCAGCCAACUGCUCCAUAUUUGGCUUCUAUUACACAUUUACAUACUGGAGCGAGCUAGCGAGCGAGCGCGAGAGAGCGCGAGGGAGGGCGGGCGGAGGGAGGAGGGAGGGGAGAGGAGCGAGGGGGGGGAGGAGGAGGAGAGAGCAGAGUAUACCGCAGACAUCAUUUCUACUACAGUGGCGGAGCCGUACAGGACCUGUUUCACUGCAGGGGGAUCCAAAACAAGCCCCGUGGAGCAGCAGCCAGAGCUACAGCAGCCGCAAGACACUGUUUCUCUCCCUCUGCCCCCCCUUCCCCACGCAACCCCAGAUCCAUUUACACUUUACAGCUGUCUGGUGCCUUUGGCCUUGCAGGCACUUAACCCUUUCAAGUGCAGAAGAAGUCAUCCUUUAGAACUCAAGUUGCCAGUAGUCGCGACUGGUUUUCUAACGGAUUUACUCAGCGGAAGUAAUUUAUUCCAGAAGGAUAUCCCCGUUGUCAGAUUUGAAAACUGGACGGCCGUCAUAAUAGCAAAAAAAUGCUACUGAUAGUAGGCAGUCAUUCUGAAUGUAUUCAUUCUUAACUUGGAUUUCUUGGCCAUGAUCGUUACCUUUGUGGUAGUAGGUUAUAAGGUUUUUGUCUCAGCUAAGAGAUGAUGGAGGUCUAUAGCUGGUAGACUGAUAAUGUAUGGUGCUUUUGCACAAUAACUUGUACUCUAUUUGGGAAUAUAAUUUCAUGGGCAUUUAAUAAUGUAGAGAACAGCAUUUUUCUCUUUGCAUUAGGGGACCACCUUAUUAAGCCAGCUGAGCAAAGAAAAAUAAUACUGUUGGGGAAAAAAAAAAAGGAAAGAAAAGUAGCUUUGGUUGCUGAAGCUCUGUGUUGCUCAGGCAAUCCAAAUAAGGGAGAGUAUUUUAAUAACUCUGAUAUUUGAAAGAAAAAAUAAUUGAGAAUAAUAACGUCUUGAUGUCAUUGUGACCCUGCCAGUCAGUUUACCGUUUUACAG